Pezoporus occidentalis (night parrot) is the source of this 2167-nucleotide long non-coding RNA. RefSeq lists it as uncharacterized. The transcript is spliced from 2 exons. NCBI's taxonomy places the organism in Eukaryota, Metazoa, Chordata, Aves, Psittaciformes, Psittacidae. The record is from RefSeq and is a predicted model, not a curated record.
GAAGGGGAAAUCCCUUUUAGUUUUGAGAUUAGGUUGCCAGGCUUUGAAAAGGGCUUAAAAACAAAGUCAUGCUCAGCCUUUUGUGGGAGAGAUCCAGAUGUUAUGUAGAUUUUUUUGUUUGCAUGUUCAUUUUGAGCGGACCAGGCUGUGAGCGCUGCGUUUACGUGUGCAUGUAGCUGGACUUUGCCGUAGAUCGACGUUGCGCUUGUGGAAUGUCUGCUGAAGUAUUAGCUCGGUAAUGCCUUCUAAUGGUAGUGCUAAUUACGGUGGGGUUAUUUAGCAAAUUAAGUGAGCUGAUGCACCCCUCACCCUUGAGCACCAAAUGAACUUUUCCAAGCACACACUUACACAGAGAGACACGUUAAUUUUGGUGUGUUUCUCUCCCCCAAUCGUUUUGCCGGAGCUACCCCAGCCUUACCUCAGAGCAGUCAAUUACUAAAGCUGGCCAGGAUCAUCAAUCAUGGGGGAUGCUUGAAGUUUAGGGGAGGAGCGAUGGUCAAACUAUCGAUUGCUGCAGUUUUGUCCUCCCCAGCCCCCCACCCUCGUUCACGGUCCCCUGCACAUAAAAUCUAAACCAGACUAUCCCGUUAAUAGUGGGAUUUAUCAAUGAUUAUGUACCCGGUUAUGAAUGUGGCCUUAUACAUAGCUGGCUUUUAAAAUACACGGAAGAAAAAUAUUAUUUAUUCGGUUAGGUUUUGGUUUAUUUUGCUUUGAUUUUCGUGGUGAUGACGAUGAUUAUAAGAUUUUUUUUUUUUUCCUGAAACUUUAAGAAAAUUACUCAAGGGGUAGUUACAGAUAUUUGGCCUGAUUUUAAUAGGCGUAGGGAAUGAGCUCCAGAGGUCAAUAAACCCCUCCAAAAUGAUGAAUGAUUGAGUACCUGUGAUGAUGAUAGUGAUUACCGGAGCAAUUAAACAGUUUGAUUAAAUGAGCCAUCAUAACAAUGAUGUCUGCGGGAAAUCAGCCCUCACGUAUAAAGAAAGAUAGUGUGAAGCGCUGACAAACGCCAGUGGGCAUUCCUGCGUGUUCUGAUAGCGCCGAGCCCUGCAGAGCAGAGCAGGGCUGUAUUUACAAAUAUGGGGGCAAUACCAAGAAAAGUCCUACUUUUAGCCAGAAUUGCACCCUGCUUAAAACCAGCCAGGAGCUGGGGAGCAGACCCGGGUUUGUUUUUUUUUUUUCCUUUUUUUUUUUUUUUUAAUAUCUUUUUUUUCCAGAGGAUCUCCUCCAAGAUUAAAGCUAGUCCUAAGAGCAACCGAAUUGCUGUGACUGACUUUCAUGGGACUGUAAAGAGAGCUGCCUAUAAAACUCCAGAAGAGGAGAGCUCUCCUUUUUACGCUGGAAUUCUUGGUCCGGAGAGAACAAUAUCCUCCUACCUCCUUUUGAAAUGAUACGGAGACCCUCACAACACACGGGCGAGCACUCCAAGUACGAGUCUCCCUCUUUUUUGUUUUUUUUUCCCCCGAUUUUUUCCCCAAAGAGCUGCUCGGCCCAUUGUUUGAAGUGGGAUUUAGCACGCAGCCCAAAGGGAAGAAAAAAAAAUAAAAUCUAAGGAGCCCCGUUUGGUAUUGCACGGAGAAAGAGCUGACAAAAUAUUACAGCUUGUCUCCUAGAAGGACGUGAGACGUGAUGGGAGCUGGCGGUGUGUUUCCGAAAGAAAGGUUUUUUUUUAUGUUUGGGUGGUGGUUUUUUUUUUUGUUCCCCCCCCCAAGAUUGUGAUCGCCUUUGUACGUCUUUCUUUUGAUCCCACAAAGAGAAUGCCAUAUCCAUAUAUGUGUUUGCUCUCCGUACAAGAAAUGCAAAGGAUCGCACAAUAGAAUAUGCGGCCGGUUAGUCCUCAUAAUGCUUAGUUUCGCUGUAAUUAAUUGAAAACAGUUAUUAGGUCGUCAUUGGCAAUAGCAUAAAUAAUUGCAGCAGAUUUUUACUUAAAAUUGACCGGUCACAGAGUGAUAGAUCGAUUCGAGGUAUAAAAAUGAUGUAUCAAAACAUCAAUGUCGAUUAUUUGAAAUAUUGUAGUCAAAUCUUUUUAUUGCUUCAUCGGUUAAGUGUCUGAAAGUGCUGUGUUCCAACAUAUAUUUAUGUUGUCAAUACUGUCAAAACUGUCAGUUUUAUUACAGUGGAUUUGUAAUACAUUUCGGAUUUGCUCAUUUACAUAAAAUGUCCACCCCAGAUA